Molecule: ribosomal RNA, 327 nt
Filed under: Triticum aestivum (bread wheat)
Lineage: Eukaryota; Viridiplantae; Streptophyta; Magnoliopsida; Poales; Poaceae
Description: partial small subunit ribosomal RNA
Source: RNAcentral
AUGGAGCACGGUUCGGUGGCGGAUUCCAGCGCGUCGACCUUCUCCGUCAUGGAGGAGGAUCACACCCUCGCCAACUCCGUCAGAUUUGUACUCAACCAGGACCCAAGGGUAGCAUUUUGUGGAUAUAGCAUCCCUCAUCCUGCUGAUAACAAAGUCAACAUAAGAGUUCAGACUACAGGAGAUCAAGCAAAGGAUGUAAUGAAAGAUGCUUUACAGGACUUGAUGGUGAUGGGCCAGCAUGUUAGAGGGACUUUUGACAAAGCAGUGGCUGAUUUUAAAUCAAAGAUGCCUGCAGAACAAAUGGAUGUUGAUUUGAAUCAGCAAUGA